UUGCAGAAUUCCGCGAAUCAUCGAGUUUUUGAACGCAAGUUGCGCCCGAGGCUUGACCAAGGGCAUCUCUGCCAGAGCGUCACCGCGACA
RNAcentral lists this ribosomal RNA (90 nucleotides) under Syrrhopodon revolutus. RNAcentral's name for it is "partial 5.8S ribosomal RNA". It matches the Rfam family "5.8S ribosomal RNA", at positions 72 to 154 of the family's 154-position model. Rfam says of the family: 5.8S ribosomal RNA (5.8S rRNA) is a component of the large subunit of the eukaryotic ribosome. It is transcribed by RNA polymerase I as part of the 45S precursor that also contains 18S and 28S rRNA. The record is from RNAcentral. Lineage: Eukaryota; Viridiplantae; Streptophyta; Bryopsida; Dicranales; Calymperaceae.